This 703-nucleotide long non-coding RNA is filed under the name Monodelphis domestica (gray short-tailed opossum). RNAcentral's name for it is "lncRNA (ENSMODG00000049904.1)". The record is from RNAcentral. Lineage: Eukaryota; Metazoa; Chordata; Mammalia; Didelphimorphia; Didelphidae.
CCUUGGGGAAGCUGCCCUGAAGCUCAGUUUCUGUUUUUUCAGUCUGCUGGGAUGAGGGGAAAAUAUGGGCUCACCUCCCAGAGACAGGUUCAGAAGCAGGGCCAGCCUUCUACAGAAACAGAGACAGCAGUCUUACCUGGUACUGUUUUGCAGGGAUAAGGAAGGGAUAUCUCUUCUGGAAUCUCCUCAUCAAAGAAGGUGGGAGCUGGAAGGUACAGGUGGGUGCUCUGCCUGGCUACCUACUACUUACAGGACCUUGAAGCCAUCGAAAUCCAGUGGCAAGUUAAAAGUCAGGAGAACUGUAAUGGCACCUUUGACGAUGUCUGCUCUACACACUCCACAAUGCCUGCUUCAGCCCCUUCACGGCCAUUGUAAUAAAUUGUUCUCAUCGGCUCGUUUCAACAGGGGAGAUCUUUGCAUGCUUGGGAAGGACAGCCCCCUCACUCAUGGACAGGUUUAAGGUGAGAGUUGGCUGAGAGGUGGACACGAAAGGUGGAUGAGCAGCCCUGAAUUUGGAAGAGAGAAGGGUUUGAAAGUGAAGAUAAUGAUCUCAAUUUUGGACACAUUCAGCUUAAGAUGUCCCAGUAUUCAAUGCGAAGUCUACUGCCACCCACAAAGAAGAUGAAAAGGUCAAAUCUAAUGGUUAACACUGAUGGUUCAUGCUCAUAAUUACAUUUAAAGUUUUCCUCACAACAAUCCUAUA